This 138-nucleotide small nucleolar RNA is filed under the name Ornithorhynchus anatinus (platypus). The record is from RNAcentral. Lineage: Eukaryota; Metazoa; Chordata; Mammalia; Monotremata; Ornithorhynchidae.
CCCCUCUAAGGGUCACAUCAGGAGAGUUUCCAGUACUCUACCAGUCUCGGCUAUGGGAGGGAGAGUCAAGCAGAGGCCUAGCCAUUCCAUUCCUUGCUUGGGCAGUGGCUAGUGAGUGGAAGGCAAUUUGCUACAAGU